GAUGAACGCUGGCGGCGUGCUUAACACAUGCAAGUCGAACGAGAAUCAACGGAUUGAGGAUUCGUCCAAAUGAAGUUGAGGAAAGUGGCGGACGGGUGAGUAACGCGUGAGGAACCUGCCUCGGAGUGGGGAAUAACAGCCGGAAACGGCUGCUAAUACCGCAUAAUGCAUUGGAUUCGCAUGUUUCUGAUGCCAAAGAUUUUAUCGCUGAAAGAUGAGCUCGCGUCUGAUUAGCUAGUUGGCGGGGUAACGGCCCACCAAGGCGACGAUCAGUAGCCGGACUGAGAGGUUGAACGGCCACAUUGGGACUGAGACACGGCCCAG
RNAcentral lists this ribosomal RNA (324 nucleotides) under uncultured bacterium. Its description in RNAcentral is "bacterial SSU rRNA". It matches the Rfam family "Bacterial small subunit ribosomal RNA", at positions 28 to 334 of the family's 1533-position model. The record is from RNAcentral.